RNAcentral lists this ribosomal RNA (460 nucleotides) under uncultured bacterium. RNAcentral describes it as "partial 16S ribosomal RNA". It matches the Rfam family "Bacterial small subunit ribosomal RNA", at positions 338 to 795 of the family's 1533-position model. The record is from RNAcentral.
CCUACGGGAGGCAGCAGUGAGGAAUAUUGGUCAAUGGGCGCGAGCCUGAACCAGCCAAGUAGCGUGAAGGAUGACUGCCCUACGGGUUGUAAACUUCUUUUAUAAAGGAAUAAAGUGAGGCACGCGUGCCUUUUUGUAUGUACUUUAUGAAUUAGGAUCGGCGAACUCCGUGCCAGCAGCCGCGGUAAUACGGAGGGUUCGAGCGUUAAUCGGAUUUAUUGGGGUUAAAGGGAGCGUAGAUGGGUUGUUAAGUCAGUUGUUAAAGUUUGCGGCUCAACCGUAAAAUUGCAAUUGAUACUGGCAGUCUUGAGUACAGUUGAGGUAGGCGGAAUUCGUGGUGUAGCGGUGAAAUGCUUAGAUAUCACGAAGAACUCCGAUUGCGAAGGCAGCUUACUAAACUGCCACUGACAUUGAUGCUCGAAAGUGUGGGUAUCAAACAGGAUUAGAUACCCUUGUAGUC